GUACAAGUUUUUCGGCGUAAAACCCGAAAAGCGUAGUGAAAGCGUUUGCCGCGUCGUUUCGUACGGCGUGUUUAUUGCAAUUGCAGAGAUGAUGGUGGUCUUAAUCGGCCGCUCGCAAUCUCGGGAUGGUCUCAUUUUCGAUUUAUCGAAUGAGCCAUACUCGUAGGUUACACGCUAAGCCCCGAAAGAUGGUGAACUAUGCCUGACAAGGACGAAGUCUGGGGAAACCCUGAUGGAGGUCCGUAACGCUUCUGACGUGCAAAUCGAUCGGCAUAGUCGGGUAUAGGGGCGAAAGACCAAUCGAACCAUCUAGUAGCUGGUUCCUUUCGAAGUUUCCUUCAGGAUAGCUAGACGUGAUUAAAUGAGUGCGCUUCGCGCGUGCUACACGUAGUCACAUGCGGUAAAGCGAAUGAUUAGAAGUAUUGGGGCCGAAACGGCUUCAACUUAUUCUCAAACUUUCAAUGUGUGUGCUCCGCGGGCUUUCAAAAUUUUUUCUCUUUCGGGAGAAAACGAAGCUCCGGACAGAUAUAACACGUCUAAGUGGGCCAUUUUUGGUAAGCAGAACUGGCGAUGUGGGAUGAACCAAACAACAAGUUAAAGUGCCUAAGCCGACGCUUAUGAGAUACCAAAAAAGGCGUUAGUAACUAAAGACAGCAGGACGGUGGCCAUGGAAGUCGGAA
RNAcentral lists this ribosomal RNA (680 nucleotides) under Ctenisodes sp. 'Pilopius' QH13. RNAcentral's name for it is "partial large subunit ribosomal RNA". It matches the Rfam family "Eukaryotic large subunit ribosomal RNA", at positions 684 to 1266 of the family's 3401-position model. Lineage: Eukaryota; Metazoa; Arthropoda; Insecta; Coleoptera; Staphylinidae. The record is from RNAcentral.